This 219-nucleotide small RNA is filed under the name Arabidopsis thaliana (thale cress). RNAcentral's name for it is "ATSL270370". The record is from RNAcentral. Lineage: Eukaryota; Viridiplantae; Streptophyta; Magnoliopsida; Brassicales; Brassicaceae.
UGCAACUAGAUCUUAAAAGCCUAAGUAUUGUAUUCUUGUUAGAAGAUACAAACACGAAGACUCAUACGGACUUCGGCUACACAAUCAAAGCUUUGAGAAUCAAGAAGAAGCUUGGUUAGUGUUUUGGAGUCGAAUAUGACUUGAUGUCAUGUGUAUGAUUGAGUAUAAGAACUUAAACCGCAACCGGAUCUUAAAAGCCUAAGUACUGUUUCUUUGUUA